Molecule: ribosomal RNA, 675 nt
Filed under: Triticum aestivum (bread wheat)
Lineage: Eukaryota; Viridiplantae; Streptophyta; Magnoliopsida; Poales; Poaceae
Description: partial small subunit ribosomal RNA
Source: RNAcentral
AUGUACUUGUUCUUAUCCAAAGGUAUUCUCUUUUUAACAAGGAGCAGUGGCACGGGGAACAAGGUUGACAACAUACAUGGUCAGCCACGUAAGCUACCGUACCAAUUUAUAAAAGAUAUUACGAAUGAUUUCGAUGAGGCUCAAAUAGUUGGCCGUGGUGCAUACGGAACAGUUUACAAGGGUACUCGUGAAAAUGGUGAGGAGAUUGCUGUGAAGGUACUUCAGAACAUGACUGGAUUUGAUAAUAAGGAGUUUGAAAAGGAGUUUGAGAACCUUAGGAGGCUCAAGCAUCAAAACGUUGUUGAACUAUUGGGUUUCUGCAACGAAUCAGAGAAAGUUGUUGCAGAAUAUAAUGGGAAGCAAGUUAUCGCUGAAAAGAUGCAUACAGCGCUCUGCUUCGAGUAUGUAUGUAAUGGUAACCUUGCCGAGUAUAUUUCUGAUGAUCCUUGCUUGGGACUUAAUUGGCAGAUACUAUACAAAAUAAUUAAAGGGACCUGUCAGGGUUUAGAAUAUCUUCGGCAUGGAUUGGAGGUUCCAAUAUGGCAUUUGGACUUAAAACCUGCUAACAUAUUGCUAGAUAAAGAUAUGAUUCCAAAGCUUGCAGAUUUUGGCUUGUCAAGACUCUUAGGUGAUGAAAACACAAGAAAGACCAUCAGUCCCGUCGGUACAUGGUAA